CAACGCAUACUGGUGUUUAGCUUGGGACUUAGGGUUUUACUACUUUUGUGGGCUUCACUCUCUGUAUCUUGGUCUCUGUAGAGAUGACGAAGUUCAGGAAGCUCGCAUAUUGACGGGUCAACGUAUGUCAAUGUUCAGCUACGAUUGGCUGUGUGUACAACAACGGUUUCCCAGCUGGUUAAGAUCGAGCGCAUCGAAACCACUGUUGCCAAGUUAAGUGCUCAUGUCAUAUUACAGAGACAGAGCUGGUGGUUAUACAAGAUUGCUUUGAACUCGCAUAUGAGUUGGUGAUGCUGCACCAAUGGCCUGUAUUGAGUUUGUUGAUAGAGAAAACGAGCUUAGACAGUCAAAGCCACCUACUCCUCAACCUCCACAAAGAGCUUCCGGGGACAAGAUCCCGGCUUACAAGGAACAUUACAUCUCUAAAGAGGAAAAUGGCUCUUAGCUGGUUGGUUGAAUUACUCUUUUGGGCCUGUCUUAUUAUGUUCUGGUUAUUGUCCUUGUUUGUAAUUUCCUUCAAGGUCUUUAUUGUCUUUUCUGAUAUGUGAUAUGUCUUGUAGGGUUUGUUGUGUUUUAGGGGGUAGUAGCUGCUGGUUGUAUUUAUCUGUUGAAAAACUGAUGUAUGUGAUGAACUUGGUUAAGGUGUUGAAUGUUGAAAUCAGGAUGGAUGAUAUUUUGUGUGUGA
Tripterygium wilfordii is the source of this 685-nucleotide long non-coding RNA. RefSeq lists it as uncharacterized. The transcript has 4 exons. Lineage: Eukaryota; Viridiplantae; Streptophyta; Magnoliopsida; Celastrales; Celastraceae. The record is from RefSeq and is a predicted model, not a curated record.